GCCGUUGUAGCUCAAGCAGAGCACCGUCCGGUCAGGGCGGGUCACGAUGCCGGUUCAAGUCCGGCCAACGGCUCCA
This 76-nucleotide transfer RNA is filed under the name Faecalibacterium prausnitzii. RNAcentral describes it as "tRNA-Asp". It matches the Rfam family "tRNA". Rfam says of the family: Transfer RNA (tRNA) molecules are approximately 80 nucleotides in length. Their secondary structure includes four short double-helical elements and three loops (D, anti-codon, and T loops). RNAcentral also lists the same sequence under 3 other names. The record is from RNAcentral. Lineage: Bacteria; Bacillati; Bacillota; Clostridia; Eubacteriales; Oscillospiraceae.